GACGAACGCUGGCGGCGUGCCUAAUACAUGCAAGUAGAACGCUGAAGGAGGAGCUUGCUCCUCUGGAUGAGUUGCGAACGGGUGAGUAACGCGUAGGUAACCUGCCUGGUAGCGGGGGAUAACUAUUGGAAACGAUAGCUAAUACCGCAUAACAGUAGAUAUUGCAUGAUAUCUGCUUAAAAGGUGCAAAUGCAUCACUACCAGAUGGACCUGCGUUGUAUUAGCUAGUUGGUGGGGUAACGGCUCACCAAGGCGACGAUACAUAGCCGACCUGAGAGGGUGAUCGGCCACACUGGGACUGAGACACGGCCCAGACUCCUACGGGAGGCAGCAGUAGGGAAUCUUCGGCAAUGGACGGAAGUCUGACCGAGCGACGCCGCGUGAGUGAAGAAGGUUUUCGGAUCGUAAAGCUCUGUUGUAAGAGAAGAACGAGUGUGAGAGUGGAAAGUUCACACUGUGACGGUAUCUUACCAGAAAGGGACGGCUAACUACGUGC
RNAcentral lists this ribosomal RNA (496 nucleotides) under uncultured Streptococcus sp. RNAcentral's name for it is "bacterial SSU rRNA". It matches the Rfam family "Bacterial small subunit ribosomal RNA", at positions 28 to 508 of the family's 1533-position model. The record is from RNAcentral. Lineage: Bacteria; Bacillati; Bacillota; Bacilli; Lactobacillales; Streptococcaceae.